Molecule: long non-coding RNA, 329 nt
Filed under: Brassica napus (rape)
Lineage: Eukaryota; Viridiplantae; Streptophyta; Magnoliopsida; Brassicales; Brassicaceae
Description: long non-coding RNA (BNAP_LNC026593)
Source: RNAcentral
AAAAGUUACAAAAAUAGCACUUAAUGUUUUAUCAAAAGUCACAAACUUAGAGUUUAGAGUUAAAGGGUGGGGUUUAAGAUUUAGGGUUUAGGGUUUAGAGUUUAGGGUUUAGGGUUUAGAGUUUAUGGUUUAGGGUUUAGGGUUUAUAGUUUAAGGUUUAGAGUUUAUGGUUUAGAGUUGAGAAAUGAGGUUUUGGGAUAAGAUUUCAAAUUUUGAAAAAUAAAAAAAUUAAAAUUUUCAAAAAAUAAAAUGCUAUUUUGGUCAUUUUAGUUUUUGAGUGCUAUUUUUGUGAUAUAAACUUAGAAAUGUGCUAUUUUGGAGAUUUACCC